Molecule: long non-coding RNA, 2242 nt
Filed under: Pan troglodytes (chimpanzee)
Lineage: Eukaryota; Metazoa; Chordata; Mammalia; Primates; Hominidae
Description: lincRNA
Source: RNAcentral
UUUAUUACCAACAUCGUUGGCAUCCCUGAGUAUGAGAGUUCAGAAGAAACUUAGAGGCUAUUGUCUGAUUCAAUCCUUGCAGCUUACAAAAAGAAAUGUGGGGAGCAGUCACUGUGUGACUAGCCUGAGGUCACUCAGGAAGUUAGAGGCAGAACUGCAGCCAGGGUCACCUCUCUUUACUGCUACUAGUGUGCUCUUUCUACUGCACCCUGAUCAUAAAACAUCUCCCAACCCAGGAACAAGGUCUACCGCAUAGGUGGUCACAGCACCGUGAUCACUCUCUCAGUCAUCUGUACUCCUCCUUUGCUUUGACCAAAGACACAGGAAGGGACCUUUUGCCCCACAUAAAACACCUCUCAGAGGCUUGGCAACAACAACAGAUAAUAGCAUUGACCUAAGACCAACAUUUCAACCAUGGUGUCAAAACAAUAUUUUAUUUCAGCAAAGAAAAACUAUGUCACAAGUGGAUUAUUAUUACUAAUAAUCAGACUAGUGGUACUUGCGGAUGACUUGGUUUCAUACUCACACUUGGACAACUAUGCACACUGAGUAUAACUGACCUUAUGAGAACAUCAUUCUCACUAAGAUUAUGAUGUGCUUUCUCACGUGGGAACUGUACAUGAUAUUGUGUGUACCCUUGGGAGGAUGUCCUGCCUGUGAUGUUGUCUUUCAGGGGAAGAAGAAUGGUUGAGAACUGAGGGUAUAUUAAACAUUUACUCCUCCAGAUUUUUCAAGAUUUCUGUUAAGCCAGAUCAGAAGAAAGCCAUCUAUUUGGAUUGCAUCACUCUAACCUGGAAAUACCAAUAUUUUUUGAGCAUGGCAAGUGUUCCCAAGCAUUCAGAAGUGGAGAGUGUAGGAAAUCCACUGCAGAAUGAGGUCUGCUUGUCAUCCUCUCAGUCUCAACUGCUCUCCCUCCUUCAUCUCUCUCUGUUUCAUUGAUGAGUACAGAAGAUCAGGCAUUUUUAUAUGAAGUGAAAAUUGAUGGAACUAAGGUGUUGAUUUGAAUAUCCAACCGACCAUUUAUUGAGUGUCCAUUACAAGUUAAAUUGUGUUGUAGAGAACAGCUCAGGAAACGAAUGCUUGACAUUGAUGUACAUAACAAAAAUACAAACAUACCAUUAAAAAAUCAGACCUCUUAUGAGCAUCCAGAUUCUCAUGUAAGUUUUGUGAAGCUCUUUCAAAAUGAGAAUGUAAAAUUUCAAAAAAAACAUCAUUUUCACAAGUCAUUCUUGAGACAGGAAAGUGGAAAUAGAAGUUCAUAUAUGGUUGUUUCACUAGCUCAAAUCUUAUGUACAGUUUUUAAUCCAUUGACACCCAUAUAAUUCUUAGUUUUAUAUACUGAUAGUCAUUAGAAAUUACAAAUUUUAAAAAAUAUUCAUGUCUCAUUCUACGAAUCAAUCUAAAAAUUGCAUUCAUUUGGUUAUAUUUCUUCAUUUUACCUGGCCUUGAAUACUUCUUUCCUGCCCAGGAUUAAAUUUAAUUAAUGUCUAAUUUGUUUACUUGGUUUAGUUAUUUUGGCCAUGUUCAGUACACUUGUUAUGAAGCAGGCAUGUAGGAAUGUUGACAAGUUUAUGAUCCUCACUCUUCCAAAUCCCUAAUGGCGGCACCCCAACAGACACAUACCACAAUGUAAACACAUACACACACACACAAUCACGCCCACCCAUACUCACCCACGUACACACAGACACACACACACACUCCAGUGGAUCAACACAUAAAACACUCCACAGGCAGACAUCGUACAGCAGGGAUCUCUUAGUGCACUGCACACUUCUGUAAAUUAUCAGGACUCUUGAAUUGAGGUGAGUCUACAGAGAUUUCAAAAGCUAUUUGAGUGCUAAGCUAUCUAACUAGUGGUUGGACACUAUUUAAAUAAUGCAUUAAACACAACUCUUGAGGCUCUGAAGAAUUUCUGUGCUUUCUAAUGAACCAGGAGUUACAAGGUCCUGAAAGCCACAACUGUGUUACAUCCUUUAAUAGAUAAAGCAAAGCUGAUUUUAAUGUGAAUAUACUUUAUAGUUAUUUCUAUUCCUGUUAAUUUUUGUUUGCUUGUAAUACACAUUUUUAUGUAACUGGGAGUAAGGAACAUCUUAGGAAAAAGAAAACAAAAAAUAAAAUUUCGCUGUUUACACUGUGCCUUGGUCCAGUAACCCUGCACUGCACAUAUACACUUUAAAUUGGUGUCUUGGGGAACCACUUUGGUAUUUCUUUUUUUUCUUUUAUGUUGUAAACCUUUCUU